Molecule: ribosomal RNA, 145 nt
Filed under: Salmonella enterica subsp. enterica serovar Abortusequi
Lineage: Bacteria; Pseudomonadati; Pseudomonadota; Gammaproteobacteria; Enterobacterales; Enterobacteriaceae
Also listed under: 4 other names
Description: partial 23S ribosomal RNA
Rfam family: Bacterial large subunit ribosomal RNA
Source: RNAcentral
GGGUUGUGAGGUUAAGCGACUAAGCGUACACGGUGGAUGCCCUGGCAGUCAGAGGCGAUGAAGGGCGUGCUAAUCUGCGAUAAGCGCCGGUAAGGUGAUAUGAACCGUUAUAACCGGCGAUACCCGAAUGGGGAAACCCAGUGUG